CAAGAGCGUAUGUAAAAGUUGUUGCAGUUAAAGAGCUCGUAGUUGAACCUUGGGUUUGGUUGGCCGGUCCGCUUUUUUGCGAGUACUGGAUUCAACCGAGCCUUUCCUUCUGGCUAACCAGUCGUUUCGGCGGCUGGCGAACCAGGAUUUUUACUUUGAGAAAAUUAGAGUGUUCAAAGCAGGCAUUAGCUUGAAUAUAUUAGCAUGGAAUAAUAGAAUAGGACGUUAUGGUUCUAUUUUGUUGGUUUCUAGGACCAUCGUAAUGAUUAAUAGGGACGGUCGGGGGCAUCAGUAUUCAGUUGUCAGAGGUGAAAUUCUUGGAUUUACUGAAGACUAACUACUGCGAAAGCAUUUGCCAAGGACGUUUUCAUUAA
This 374-nucleotide ribosomal RNA is filed under the name uncultured eukaryote. RNAcentral's name for it is "partial 18S ribosomal RNA". It matches the Rfam family "Eukaryotic small subunit ribosomal RNA", at positions 592 to 976 of the family's 1831-position model. The record is from RNAcentral.